Molecule: unclassified non-coding RNA, 482 nt
Filed under: Cimex lectularius (bed bug)
Lineage: Eukaryota; Metazoa; Arthropoda; Insecta; Hemiptera; Cimicidae
Description: uncharacterized LOC106668447, transcript variant X1
Source: RNAcentral
GGUAGAGCAACAAAACGAGCAAACGAAUUCAACGAAACUUUAUACAGAAUGAUAAUGGCUGAUAAGAACGACGUGUUUAGCAGAAACUACAAAGUUAACACGCACUUGGCAAACCAGAAAACCGCUGUUUUCACCGCCUGCGGAUGGUUCACGAUUGACUACACAACCUCUUGUUCGAUGAUAGCGACAUCGGCCACUUACUUGAUUAUACUCCUACAAAUGGGAGGGACGAGUCUCGGGGAAGAACCGGAAGAAUAAUCUUUAAACACUUGUAAAUUUUAAGAACAUUUCAACGAUGUUUGUGUUUUUGAUUUUGUAAUGUUUAAAACAUCUUUUGACAAUGUAAAAUCCGUUGAAAUCAUAUAACUAAAGAUAAAUUUUAAAGGGCAACAUCGUAAUUAUUAUUUAACAAUUUAUAAUUGUAACAUUACAUUUCUUCGACAAACCUGACUUAUUGUAAAUAACUGCAAUAUUAUGUUUUA